Molecule: ribosomal RNA, 445 nt
Filed under: Gemella morbillorum
Lineage: Bacteria; Bacillati; Bacillota; Bacilli; Caryophanales; Gemellaceae
Description: bacterial SSU rRNA
Rfam family: Bacterial small subunit ribosomal RNA
Source: RNAcentral
GACGAACGCUGGCGGCGUGCCUAAUACAUGCAAGUCGAGCGAAGUUUUUCUGGUGCUUGCACUAGAAAAACUUAGCGGCGAACGGGUGAGUAACACGUAAAGAACCUGCUUCAUAGACUGGGACAACUAUUGGAAACGAUAGCUAAUACCGGAUAACAGUAUUUCUCGCAUGGGAGAUAUUUAAAAGUUGGUUAUGCUAACACUAUGAGAUGGCUUUGCGGUGCAUUAGCUAGUUGGUGGGGUAAAGGCCUACCAAGGCGACGAUGCAUAGCCGACCUGAGAGGGUGAUCGGCCACACUGGGACUGAGACACGGCCCAGACUCCUACGGGAGGCAGCAGUAGGGAAUCUUCCGCAAUGGGCGAAAGCCUGACGGAGCAACGCCGCGUGAGUGAAGAAGGAUUUCGGUUCGUAAAGCUCUGUUGUUAGGGAAGAAAGGAUAUGUAG